RNAcentral lists this long non-coding RNA (10295 nucleotides) under Setaria italica (foxtail millet). RNAcentral's name for it is "long non-coding RNA (SITA_LNC000855)". Lineage: Eukaryota; Viridiplantae; Streptophyta; Magnoliopsida; Poales; Poaceae. The record is from RNAcentral.
CCAUUGUCAUUUUGGCUUCACAAAUCUUGGUAGGGAGGGUGAGCUGGUCCUCAAAUACCAAUGGUUUCUGGGUGGCAAAACACCAACUGAUUUUCAGCCUAUUCCUGAAGCAUUGAGCGAGGUAUGAUACUCCUUUAAGUGAUCUGCAUCAGACAAAACCAUGCUUUAGACUUUUGUACAGUGAUCCAUGCCUCCUCUAGUCUCUAAGCAGUACUUGUGGUUUAUAUUUGAUGUAUGGUUGUACCCAUCACACUUCCAGUCUGCUUCCUCUAUUUUGAUCAGCACCAUUUGAAUGAGGUUGAAAUGACAAAAUAACCUUGGUAUAAUGGUAUUGUGAGUACUUUCUAAAAUGGUUAAGGACGACAAUUGACCCAAGCAGUAAGGUGACACCUGUCGUUUGAUCUCUUGUUUGCCAAAAGUGCCUAACUGUAUUGGUUAUUACUAUUAUAUGUUUAUAUGUUGUUUGGACAAAGGAUUCAGACCAUAAUUCUCAUGACAUGAAAUUGAGACCACACUAAUCUUACAAAAUCUUCAGGAUCUAGUACACAUUUUAUCUCGUUUAAUUGACAUUUCCUGGUCAUAUCAAAUACAAACACUUGUACCUCUUAUGGCACUGAUAUUAUCUGCAAAUUUUAAGUCCCUGCCAUCAUUGUUGCACCAUUUUGCUGUUAUGCAACCUUUUUGCAAGCUCUAAACCCUUGCUAUAUGUAAACAUAAGGUGUACUGGCCGAAGCACGAGGAUGUUGGAAGAUGUUUGAAAGUUGAAUGCACUCCGAUACUGAAUGGUGCUGAAUUUCCGCCCAUCUUUGCUGUAUCUUUACCUGUUUCUCCAGGUACUUUAAACGCUCAUCUUGUUCAGCAGUAUUUGUUAAGCCAGAUUUGUCAAGCUAGCUGUUUGAUAGAGGCCAAGUUUGCAUUGUAGAUAGUUGUAUAAUACUCCAGUUGUAAAAUUAUGAAACCCUUUCAGUAAAAGUGCUCAGGCACUUCAUUUGCUGUCCCACAAUAUUUUGGGUUCUUGUUAGGGAGAUGAUUUGGCAUUCUUAUGGGGUGGUAAUUGUUUCACUGUCCUGCUGGCUGCUGCUAGCGAGAUCACUUAGUGUAAUUGAUGCACCUAAUUACUUAAAAUCAAAACUGUAAAGUGGGGCUAUAUGUUCCUCUACUCAGUCAGCUUUUGUUCACCAGGUACUGGAUGUCCAAAGGUCAUCAAUUUGACAGUCAGUGGUGAACUAGUGGAAGGAAACAUACUAAGUGGAGUUCCUGAAAUUGCUUGGUGUGGUGGAACACCAGGAAAAGGUGUUGCAAGGUUUGUUUACCCUAUUUAUUCUGUAUCUAUCUUGGCCAAAUGAAAAUUCUAAAUGCGCUCAAAACAUUCUAAAUGCGCUCAAUUCUAAAAGUUUCCUAUCUACGAAAUGCCACUGAUUUUAUUAAUCCUCUUUCGAGUCUAGUUGGUUAAGGCGAAGGUGGAAUGGCAAUGCUGAAGUAAUCGAUGGAGCGGAGGGGAUGGAAUAUCAGCUGACAGUCAAUGAUAUCAAUUCAAGUUUGGUCUUUAUGUACACCCCUGCUACAGAUGCAGGUGUCAAGGGGGAGCCGCAAUGUACAAUGACAGAUUUUGUAAAGGCUGGUAUAGUACUUUGUCCCGGCAAUUAUCCUAUUAAUGCUCUCGUACUCUUUUAGUUUUCUAGAAUUUCCCAUUUUCCCCUCUAUUAAACUAAACAUACACGCUACAUGUUUGGUUGGGUUGAAAGCAUCUCUUCCAUCAUGUUUGUAAAAGGGUAGCAAUGCAUUUUAAAUUAGCCCAAAAUUAAUGGGUUUCUUAAAUUUUUUCAUGUGACAUAUGCUUGAAAUCCUGUUGAUGGAAGAAUUAGGAUCUUCUUUUUCUUAGGAAAUUCUCUAGAAAGUAUGUUUUCAAGAAUUUGUGUAUAACUGUAUAUACAGUAUUGGCAGUUGAAAAGUAACUGAUGAUGGUUCAUCUGGUUAUAGUUGUUAAUUUUUCAAUUCUUGAGAGCUUGUUUGGAUAAAAGAGUAUUGGAGUGGAAUGAAGGGGAUUGAGUCUUAAAUGAACUAAUUUUCCCUCCAAUCCCUCCCAUUCCACUUCAGUCGACUUCUAUCCAAACAGACCCUGAUAGAACUGUUUGGUUGUUUUGACAUUUGAAGUAUUUUUUAUAUUUGAGUAGUCAUGUCAGUCUCAAUUUGAAAGUUCAAGAAGCUGUUCAUAAGCCUUAGGGAACCAGUGCCAACAUUUAUCUCCUUUUCUAAUGUUUAUAGCUGUUUGCCUAUGACAUUGUUUCAGCAACACCAUCAGUCAGCGAUGUACAUGUUCUGGGAGAUAUUGUUGAAGAUAAUGUUAUCAUAGGAAAGGGAAAAUACUUUGGUGGCCGAGAGGGACUAAGCAAAAUCCGGUGGUUUAGAGAGAAGGAAAAUGGGUAUGUGCCACUAGUUGCCAUAUCGAAGUUUUGAACUGAGGAAAAACUGGUGUUAGAUAGAUUUUUCAUAUCUAGCUAGCAUCAGAGUUCUUAAAAUCAUUGGCAUUAUGAUAUACUAGGACAACAUGUUGUGUGCCAUUGAUAGCACACGUUUCCAUGCUUCUUGAAGCAUAGAUUCUGCUUACACAUUGAAGUAUUUCCUAUAUAUUUUACAUAAUUCUUGAAAGUCUGUAAUGUUGAAUAAUUACAUGUUAACAAAUAACAACUAAGAACACUUGGACAAAAUAUUGCCGCUUAACACUUUUAAUAUAGAGAUAUGUCCUGAGAAUUUUGUGCUGCCAAAAGCCCAAAACAUUUCAUCUUCAUGAUUGAAAGGACAAAGGAGCCAUUCUUAUGAUUUCACUAGAAAUGAUUACUUGCUGUGGCACCUAUUGUUGGAGUUGUUCAAAUAGAUUGGGAGACACAUCAAGCAGUCUCUCGACUGAACCUUUUUAUCUAUAUGGUUUUAAGGAGCAACUUUUGACAAAAGUCAACUUUGGAUCUGCUGAAUACUUGUAAACUAAAUAGUGAAAAAAACACCAUGUGCACAAGUGGACUGGACACCAAGUAAACAACAUGUCAUGUAAUCUAAACUGCCAGAGAACUGGAUGAACUCAAUUGCAAAACCAGAAGUAAUCCAUAAUUCCAUUUAACUAAGUUGAAUGGCUGUGGACACAUAUUUUAUGCUAAUGGGAAAUUAUUUGUUUGUAUGCAGUGAAUUUCUUCUUGUGCUGUCAGACAGCAUGGAGUAUACACUUACUAACGAGGACGUGGGCAGGCACCUCAAAUUUGUAUAUACCCCCGUCAACCUUGAAGGUUUGUUGAACUGGCAGGCGUUAGCUGUAACAUGUCUACUGCUUGUUGGCACAAAUGUUAUUUUACACUAACAUAUACUGAUGAUUUCUCCAGGCGAGGAAGGUGAAUCUGCUUGCGCACUAACAGAUGUAGUUAAGAAAGGUACUAAUGUUUGACAUUUGUGCAGUUGUGCCAAUUGUGACAUUUUUCCUUUCGGGAUAAGACUGAAUAUAUGUAUGAUUACUUUGCUUUGCGCUCCUCGUUUGGUCAGCCCCUCCAAAAGUCUUCAAUUUAAUGAUUAUUGGGGAAGCAAGGGAAGGAAGCAAGAUAUCUGCUAGUGCUACUGUCACAGGUGGAACUGAAGGGUCCAGUAGGGUUCAAUGGUACAAGGCAUCUUCCUCCGAAUUUAAGAAUGAACAUGAGCUUGAAGCCCUUAGUACAUCAAAAGUUUCUAAAGUAAGAUCAGUUGUGUUCUCUACUAAUGUCAUUGAUGCACUGCUCAAUACUUUAGGCUUUAUUAUUUGUUUUAUUUUGUUUAAUGUGAUAGAACUGAAUUUCAAUCUUCUUUUGAUUCCAUUAGACAUUCCGCAUUCCUCUCAGUGCUGUUGGAUAUUAUAUUGUCGCAAAGUUUACACCUGUGGCACCUGACGGUGAAAUCGGUGAACCAGCGUAUGCUAUAUCAGAUGGCGUUGUGGAAAGUAAGUACAUGUUAGUUGACCUUAUUAUUUGUGCUAAAAAGCUUCUUUUGAGUGUUCGUUCUGGCAUUUCUAAUUAUUAUGUUCACAUGUCAUGGCAAUUCAUAGUUCAGCCCACCUGUCCAUUAUGUGCCCACACUCAAUGGCUUAUUUGUGCUAAAAUGCUUCUUUUGAGUGUCCAUUCUGGCAAUUAUGUGUAAUAUUUUAGCCAUUCAUAGUUCUGCCCACCGGUUCACCAUCUGACCACACUCAAUGGCAACUAUCUGGAUUAUUUCAUCCGAAUGACCUAGAAGGGGAGAAAUGAUAGUGCUUAUUCCUCUAGUGGAGUAUUCCCAUGAAUUUAGGUGCCAGUAAAUUUGCCUUGGAUAUGGCUGUAGCACCGUUGGAACUGAAAUUAAACCAAGACUUUAACAUUCAUGUUUUGCAGUACAUAGGAUAAGUGAAACUUUGAAGAUAGAUCAAAUAAUUGGCAAUCGUCUUUCUGUAGAAGUGAUGGGUAGUCCUUUUGUUUUUAGCUGUCAAACCAUCAUUUGGGGAGGCACAAACUUGUGAUUUAGCCAGUCGUGCUGCCAUUUCUAUUUAAACAGCAUCACCUUUCUUUGUUGCAGCAUUGCCACCCAGCCUGAACUUCUUAACAGUGACUGGUGAAUUCUCUGAGGGUCAGAUAUUAACAGCAUCAUACGGGUACAUUGGGGGGCAUGAAGGAAAUAGUUUAUAUAGUUGGCAUCUUCAUGAGGUAUGUAUUGUAUUUUCUUGGUUGCUACUAAGUUAUGGGCAGUAAUGCUUGUUCUUUGGCCACUUCACUUAUAUGAAAUUUGACAGACUGAAGAUGAUGAAGGCACUCCAGCGUCGGAGGCAUCUGGUUUGCUACAAUACCGUGUUUCAAAGGAAGCUAUUGGAAAGUUUGUUUCUUUCAAGUGCACACCUAUCAGGGAUGAUGGUAUCGUUGGCGAGGCAAGAGUAUUCAUAGGAAAGGAUAGAGUUACUCCAGGUGCUUCUCUUUUCUAUUUCUGCCUUGAACAAUUUUUUGAAAUGGAAGAAAUUAUUUCUAUGUCAUGAAAGAGAUCUAUUUAUUUGCUUGCUUGGCCUGGAUGUCAGGAAAUGUAUAUUUAUAAACUAAUUAGACAGGAAAUGUAUAUUUAGAAACUAACUAGUGAAUGAACCUGGAUUCUCUAUUAAAUGACGAACUCAAAGAUGUGAAAAAUAAAAGAAAUAUGAGAAUUGUUGCACACUGCUAAAUUCUUUGUAGUUUUCUGCUUACAUUCUGUUUUCUGUGUCCAAGAAAAGAAAUUUUAGCUAUUCUUUUUGUACACAUGAAUCGAUUUAUCUUUCUUGGUUGCUGUUGUGAUAGGUUCUAGACACCUAUGACUAUGAUUGAAGAAAAAUUCUUCAUACAUAACAGCUUUGUUUCAAUUUCUUUGCAUUGCUGACAGGAAUGCCAACAUUACUUUCUCUUGAAGUAACUGGUGAGGCCAUUGAAGGAACAACUAUGGUUGCCAGCAAAAGAUAUUGGGGAGGAGAAGAAGGGGACACAAUGUUCCGCUGGAUAUUGGUAGGUUGCUGUUAUCAAGUACUACUUUUUUCCUUUUUACGUGGUAAUGUACGUAAGUACUAAUAACCAGAUUAUACCUUAACUAAUUACAUCUCCCAUAUGAAUUCUUGCUGGGUUUCAACUCUUAGGGUACUUUGGACUGAAAGCUUUGUUGUUGUUGUUGUAGGCAAGUUCUGAUGGAACUGAGAAAGAAAUUGAAGGUGCAACAAGUUCAUCGUAUACCUUGAAAUGCGAUGACAUUGGCUUCUACAUAUCUGUCUUGUGCAAGCCUGUUAGAAAUGAUGGAGUUCAGGGUUCUUUGGUGUCGACAGAAGUGAUUGGUCCUAUUAUACCAGGUAGAUAAAUCGACAACUGUUACCUCUUUGGAAAAUAUACAUUUUUCUUUACUGUGUUGCUUUGUGUGUGCACACUUGCAUGUGUGGGGGCAUUUGUUCCAACUUGUUGAUGAAAUUACAAAACGAACCGAUAUCUUUGUAAUCUACUUAUUUACAGGGCCACCAACAUGCCGAUCUCUUGAACUAGCUGGCUCUAUGGUCGAAGGUGGCCGUUUGACCUUCCAUGCUGAGUAUACUGGAGGGUGAGAUAUACACUACUGGUGUUCCAGGUUAUCAUUAAUGUUACUUGCUAAACUCUUUCCUUCUCAUUCUAGUUUGAGGGGAAGUUGCAUCCACGAAUGGUUCAGAUUACAUGACGAUGGUCGCAAGGAAAAGUUGACUGCCGGCGGUCAGUUCGUAUAGUCUUUUUUGGACAUAUGCUAUCGCACACAACUCCAAUAUUUGCUGUCCUUUUCUCAUUGCAGAACUAACUGUUAAUUGUUUUCUCAUAAUAGACUGUCUAGAUCUCGAUCUAGCUGAUGUCGAUUGCCGGAUCGAACUUAUACAUACACCUGUACGAGAAGACGGAUUACAGGGGUCACCCAGGAGUGUUAUUUCAGAUACAAUCUUACCUGGUUCGUGUUUCUUCACACAUUGCCUUAUUGUAGUUAAAACAUGGCUUGUAACUUUGUACUGUUUGCUACAAAAGGCUUUACAACUAGUACUUUCUUUUUCUUUUUCUUGUUUUGCUUGCGGUAGGACCACCACAAGAUUAUGGCAUAAGCAACCAUUUUAUGUGAUGCAGAGAUACAAAUUCUGUGCUGUGCGGUUAUAUGAUAUAAGCAUAUAAAAUAAAAACGAUAUUAAACAAGGGUGUCAGUCUAUGUAUUGACUAUAUGUUAACCCGUCCUUUCAUGCAGGGGAGCCCAAGGGUGUCAAUCUUAUUCUACCUGAGUGUUUUGAGGACAAUGAAAUUUCUCCCAUCAAAACUUACUUUGGUGGUAAGGAAGGCACUGGGAAAUAUAAAUGGUUUCGAAGCAAAGAGAGACCUGAUAAUUUGGAAUUUGAUCUUGUUGCUGCAUCUUCAGAAGUUGUUGGAGAAACCUUGUGCGUUCUUUUGCUUGCUAUAUCAAAUUUUUUAGUGUCGGGUAAUCCAUAUAACGAACUAAUCUGUUUAAAUGGAUUUUUUAACAGAAAAUACAAGCUUUCAUUGGAUGAUGUUGGUUCCUACCUUGUUCUUUAUUGGGUUCCUACACGAUGUGAUGGAAAGACUGGCGAUCCGGUGAUGGCUAUUACUGAUGACCCAGUCAUGGCAGGUUGCCCCUUGAUAUUCGUGCUUGACAUUUUUGUAUGUUCAUUCAUUGCCUCCAGAUCCUUACUCUUUUCAUUAUACUUGCAGCUUUUCCAUCUGUUUUGGAUGUUCACUUGGAGCAGAAAAGUUCAGAUGUGUAUUGUGGACUGGGCAUCUAUUAUGGUGGAUACGAGGGAUCAAGCUUGUAUAGGUGGUACAGGGAAUCUAGUGAUGGAACCAGGACUCGUAUAGAUGGUGCCAAUUCAGUCACAUAUGAAGUGACAGAUGCAGAUUACAGCUGCCAUCUAUUGUUUGGGUAAACUACUUUAGUCUAUGUUGAUAUAGUAUUUACACACUUGUGAUAUGACUCAGUUGCAUUGCUUUAUUCCAUAGUAUUAAGGUAAAACUAUUAAUAUAUGCAUUACUUUACAAUGGUAUACUAUAGAUAUACUUGAAGUUAUUAUAUUAUGAAUAUUUGGUUCGAAAAACAGUAGAACAUUCUUACUGGAUGGCUUAAUAAGAGAUUUUGUCAUUGGCAGAUAUACUCCUGUUCGUUCAGAUGGGAUAACUGGUGAAGAAAAGCUGUCUGAACCAUCUGAUGUAAUUUUGCCAGGCAAGUCUCUGAACCUAUUAGAUUUUGCUUUAUGUCACCCCCAUCAUGCUUAACCUCUAUACCCCAAUCCAACUUUCUCUGGCGCUAGGUCCUCCCUCAUCUUUGCAGUUUUUGUGUAACCACAUGUAUUCCUUAUCACUUUCCUUUCAGAACCACUCAAAAUCGAGACACUUGUUUUCAAGGGAAACCAGGUUGAGAGAGAGACACUAACUGUUGUUGAACAAAUUCCAAGCAAUGAGAUCCAACAACAUAUAUGGAAUAACUAUAAGAAGGAGAUGAAAUAUCAGUGGUAAGAAAAGUGAAUCUCUCCUCUCUCUUUAACUUUGUUCAAUUUGUACAUAGCACUUAUGUGGAUCUCUGGAUGCAGGUUUGUCUCUAGUGGAUCAGGAGAGGAUCAGUCUUUUGAACCAUUGGCAACCCAGUGCUCUCGCUCAUACAAAGUACGCUUUGAGGAUAUUGGUCGCUGCCUGAAAUGUGAAUGCUUUGCCACUGAUGUAUUUGGACGAUCCAGUGAGCUGGUAUCUGCUGUGACUACUACUAUUGCGCCAGGUCUUUCAACUUCCACCUAUGCCUCCUUUUCUUAAUGCCAAUUGAGCUUGCAUUUUUACAAUUCCUGAAAGUUAUUUUCUGUAACGAGCAAGCAUUGUACCUUUGCAAAGCAUUUUACAAUUCAUGAAAGUUAUUUUCAGUAAUGAGCUAACAUUCUACCUUUGUAAAGAAAGAGUUUCAUUAUUCUAGACAGUAUGAUUUGGAUUCUAAAGAAGUAUUACUGACUGCAAAAUCGGAUCUGUUCUUUAGGCUGAUACCACUGCAUCCUUUGACUACCUGUUGGGGUUUGGGGUGCAUCGUCUUUUUGUUAGUACAAUAUUUGUUGAUCCUGUCAUCGCAUGUAUAUGCUAAACCAACAAAAAACCAAAGUGCAAAACAAAGCCCAAGUAACUAGAAGUUCAGUGAAGAUGACAGGAUUUUUAUGGAUGAAUUUGUGCAUACUGCACACUAAAGAAAACACUCUUGGCUUAGUGUCUAAUGCAAUAUUGAACUCUGACUUGAAAGUCAAAUUGAAUCGAAUGUUGUGUCUGUGUCACUAUACAUUUUAUCAAAGAAUGAUGGAAUAUGCAAUACCAUUAAACAGUUUGCUAUUUGGUUUUAACAGGAAGGCCUAAAAUUGAAAAACUGGAGAUUGAAGGAAGAGGUUUUCACACUAACCUAUAUGCUGUUCGGGGUACCUAUAGCGGAGGCAAAGAAGGCAAGAGUAAAAUACAGUGGCUCAGAUCGAUGGUUGGAAGCCCUGAUCUUAUCUCUAUACCUGGUAUGAUUUGCUAUAAAUCUGUAAUACUAGUGACGUGUAUACACUUUAACAACAUUGCAAUGUUUAACUUUUAAUGUGCAUGAAUGUUUGCUCAUUUUUUGGUGCUUCUACGCAAUAUGCAUGUACUUUGAAGUUAUAAUAUAACUGAACCAACUUCUUGUGCAGGCGAAAUUGGAAGAAUGUAUGAAGCUAAUGUUGACGAUGUAGGGUAUAGACUUGUUGCAAUUUAUACACCUGUGAGAGAGGAUGGAGUUGAGGGACAACCUAUUUCAGUUUCAACAGAGCCGAUUGCAGUUGGUACAGUCAAUUCACUUACCUUCCCAUUUCCUGUUCAUGUUCAUUUGUCGUUGAUCCCUGCAAUUUUAUCUGGUUUUAAGCACUAAGCACGACUGCUUCUAUCAUCUUAUGCAGAGCCUGAAAUUUACAAGGAAGUGAAACAGAAGCUGGAUGAUGGUUCAGUCAAAUUUGAGGUGACACUGAUUUAAAUUAUAAUGGUUUAUUUCCUGGUAUUUUAGAGCCAAUCAUAGUGAGCUACUUGCCCUGCUGUUGUCUGUUGCUGAGAAUGAGCGUUUCUUAGUAGGCUAUUUUCCCUUCAAAUCCAAGUGCUGAUAAAUCCCACAGUAGAGUGACAAAUUCUUUCAAAAGCAACAAUAUUCAAGCCUAGUACUGCCCAAUUUGUGUUAUUUCAACAACAAUGCUAUAUGGUAUUUAUUAUCUUCCACGCAAUUUAUUCUUUGUUUUUGCCUAAGCAGGUUCUAUGUGACAAGGAUCGAACACCCAAAAAGGUAUGGCAUGCUCACCCUGGAGUUUAACAAUUCCUCAGCAUAAUACAAUGACAACUGAUAAUUGCUUUUUGCAAAUACAACAGGCACAAGUAAUGGGACAUUUGGAACGGAGAGUUUUGGAAGUGAAUCGAAAGAGGAUAAAAGUAGUAAAGCCUGGAUCCAAGACAUCAUUUCCAUCUACCGAAGUACGAGGAACAUAUGCUCCACCCUUCCAUGUGAGUUCUUCCCGCGAAAUCAGCAGAUAGAAAUUGCUGUUAUCCUGUUACUACAUCUAUUACAUGUAGAUAUUUGCUCGACUAUUAGAUGCAGAUACGAUGGUAACAAUGAAUCGAACCUUUCAGGUUGAGCUGUAUCGCAACGAUCAGCACCGCUUCAAGAUUGUCGUCGACAGUGACAACGAAGUCGACUUGAUGGUGCAGACGCGGCACAUGCGAGACGUCGUCAUCCUCACGAUCAGAGGCCUUGCCCAGAAGUUCAAC